AGCCUUAUAGUCAAAAAUGAUUUGAAAUUGCAAAUUUUAAGGAGUAAUAUUAAAUUAUUAAGGCUU
This 66-nucleotide transfer RNA is filed under the name Plutella armoraciae. RNAcentral's name for it is "tRNA-Cys". The record is from RNAcentral. Lineage: Eukaryota; Metazoa; Arthropoda; Insecta; Lepidoptera; Plutellidae.